Molecule: ribosomal RNA, 773 nt
Filed under: uncultured Neocallimastigales
Lineage: Eukaryota; Fungi; Neocallimastigomycota; Neocallimastigomycetes; Neocallimastigales
Description: partial large subunit ribosomal RNA
Rfam family: Eukaryotic large subunit ribosomal RNA
Source: RNAcentral
AGAGAGAGACAUGCGCGCAUAUCAAUAAGCGGAGGAAAAGAAACUAACAAGGAUUCCCCUAGUAACGGCGAGUGAAGCGGGAAGAGCUCAAAUUUGAAAUCUUAAAGGGUUUCCCUCUACGAAUUGUAGUUCAAAGAAGUGUUUUCUGUUGAGGUUUUGGUAAAAGUUCUUUGGAAUAGGACAUCAUAGAGGGUGAGAAUCCCGUAUUUGACCUUUACUUUCAACUUUGUGAUACACUUUCAAAGAGUCGGAUUGUUUGGGAAUGCAGUCCAAAAUGGGUGGUAAAUUUCAUCUAAAGCUAAAUAUUGGCGAGAGACCGAUAGCGAACAAGUACCGUGAGGAAAGAUGAAAAGAACUUUGAAAAGAGAGUUAAACAGUACGUGAAAUUGUCAAAAGGGAAGCGUUUGACACCAGUGUUGUUUUUCUGAAAAUCAAUUAAAGAACUGUUUAUGCUAAGUUGUUUAGACUUUAUCAGCUAACUGUUUAGUUUUGAGCUUUUCUUUAAUGCACUUUUCAGUUAACAAGUCAACAUCAAUUUCUUUUGCUGUAAAAAAGCUUGAGGAAGGUGGCUUGAGAUUCGUCUUAAGUGUUUAUAGCCUCUUGCCUAUGCAGUCGGAGAGAUUGAGGUCUGCAGCGUAGAUCCUUCGGGGCUAAAUGCAUUUGUGCUAAGUUAUAGCAUUUUAUAGACAACUUGUUGACUAUGAUUUGUCUUGUAGCUUACUCGCUUAUGUUAUUUUACCUACGCUUAGGAUGUUGAGCGCAUGUCUCUCUCU